GUGCUCGGCCGGUCUUGCAGGCCCCGUCGGCCACCCGCGCCCUUGGUCCCGCCUCGGAGCCUCGGCCCCAGCUCCGGCCCCGACACGGGAGCUGCUCUUCCCUCGCGGAAGCGGUGCCGCCUGGCCCGCGGCAGCGCAGACGCCCUGCCUUGCCCUCAGGCUGGCCGGGCCGCCUGUGGCCGGAGAAAGCCCCAUUGUGGCCUGAGUGCGCCCCGCAGCCAGUCGGGAUUUCUCUCGCAGAGAGAGGCCUUUGUUCGCCUCACCCCAUCUGACUGCCCCGUGCUCUGUCCCAGCCUCAUUUGCUCCCCAAGCCCCAACCUGGGUUCCUGCUCUGGCAACAAGGAGCAGGUGGCAGCAAGGGGCGUUUUCGCGCCCCUCCCCCUAAUCACCCAGGAAAUCUCUGAGCUUGGCCACCUGCCCUGGGGGAGGAGACGCGAGGCCUGCGCACCCCACUCUGCUUCAUCCCUGGUUGCUCUCCCCACUCCUGUGGCCCCUCCGCCGGCGUUUGUGCUGUGUGACAUCCCUCUCCUCCACCGCUGCCUGGGGUUGGGGGCAGUCGGGGCAGUCAGGCCAGGCCAGGCCACCCCUGGGUGAAGAGGGCAUUGGGGCCAGAAGGGUCUGCACUGACCACCUCCAAGUUUCUGUUCUUAGGCUGUUCCCGCCGCAGCAGAAUAUAAAGUGCUGAAGCCAGAACCCAGACUGGGACGCAAGGCCCAGAACCUGCGCAGGGGCCACCGGCAAUCGGCCACCAUGCCCCUGCCCUGCUGUGCCUCGACUUACCCAUCUGCUGCUGGGGAGCAGCCUGUGGGCCUGGAGUCUCCAGGAGCCACGGUCCCUGCAAGGAGCAGAAGCCUGGCGGAGAGAAAGAACCUCCAUGGGAGGUGGAGGACAAGUGAUGGGGACAGAGUACUGGCAGCAGGGAGUUCCUAUUCAGCAUCCUCAUAGCCAGUUCCUCUUAGCCCUUCCUUACCUCGCCCGUUAAUCCGGUUUGUGCCUAAGCUACUACAUGCUGGGUUUCUGUCACUUUCAAUUAAGAGGCUCCUCACCAAUACACAGAUCAUGUGGAAAAUCCCAGUAAAGGAAAACUGACAUUUGUCAGAUGCCCACUGUUAAAUGCUGUUUUUGAAAAAUAUGCAUUAUUGCCGGGAACAGUGGCUCACGCCUGUAAUCCCAACACUUUGGGAGGCUGAGGCAGGUGGAUCACCUGAGGUCAGGAGUUCAAGACCAGCCUGGCCAACAUGGUGAAACUCCAUCUCUACAAAAACACAAAAAUUAGCUGGGCAUGAUGGCCGGUUCCUGUAAUCCCAGCUACUCGGGAGGCUGAGGUGGGAGAAUUGCUUGAACCUGGGAGGUGGAGGUUGCAGUGAGCUGAGAUGGCACUAUUGCAUUCCAGCCUGGGCGACAGAGUGAGACUCUGUCUCAAAAAAAAAAAAAAAAAAAAAGCAUUAUUGACCACAGCAUCUCUGUGAGGCAAAUGGAAGAACCACUUUGCAGAUGAGGAAACACUUUUUUGUGUUUGGAGACACUAAGGGCCACAGUGUCCACUUGUGCAGGACUCCACAGGGUGGGCCAGCCUGCUUCUAGGCACGGAGUCAGUGGGCCUUGCCUGUCCUGAGACCCCUCAGCCAGACUCUACCCAUGAAGACCUUUGCUCUGUGUCUGGGUCCUUCCUGGAGGACUCUGGGCCUUCUGUGGUCUGAGUCUUGGAGCACUGUUAUAUUGCCGUGCUGUUCAGCUCUGGCAGUCACUCCAGUUGGAGGGUCUAUGCCCCUCUGUCCUUGUGCCCUUUUUUCCGCUUUCUUUAAAAAAUGUUUAAAAAUUAUUUUUUAUUUUAUUGUU
This 1839-nucleotide long non-coding RNA is filed under the name Homo sapiens (human). RNAcentral describes it as "HSALNT0309482". The record is from RNAcentral. Lineage: Eukaryota; Metazoa; Chordata; Mammalia; Primates; Hominidae.